GAUCAGAAUGCUUAGCGGCGGACGGGUGAGUAAUGCUUAGGAAUCUGCCUAUUAGUGGGGGACAACAUUUCGAAAGGAAUGCUAAUACCGCAUACGUCCUACGGGAGAAAGCAGGGGAUCUUCGGACCUUGCGCUAAUAGAUGAGCCUAAGUCGGAUUAGCUAGUUGGUGGGGUAAAGGCCUACCAAGGCGACGAUCUCUAGCGGGUCUGAGAGGAUGAUCCGCCACACUGGGACUGAGACACGGCCCAGACUCCUACGGGAGGCAGCAGUGGGGAAUAUUGGACAAUGGGCGCAAGCCUGAUCCAGCCAUGCCGCGUGUGUGAAGAAGGCCUUAUGGUUGUAAAGCACUUUAAGCGAGGAGGAGGCUACUGAAGUUAAUACCUUCAGAUAGUGGACGUUACUCGCAGAAUAAGCACCGGCUAACUCUGUGCCAGCAGCCGCGGUAAUACAGAGGGUGCAAGCGUUAAUCGGAUUUACUGGGCGUAAAGCGCGCGUAGGCGGCUAAUUAAGUCAAAUGUGAAAUCCCCGAGCUUAACUUGGGAAUUGCAUUCGAUACUGGUUAGCUAGAGUGUGGGAGAGGAUGGUAGAAUUCCAGGUGUAGCGGUGAAAUGCGUAGAGAUCUGGAGGAAUACCGAUGGCGAAGGCAGCCAUCUGGCCUAACACUGACGCUGAGGUGCGAAAGCAUGGGGAGCAAACAGGAUUAGAUACCCUGGUAGUCCAUGCCGUAAACGAUGUCUACUAGCCGUUGGGGCCUUUGAGGCUUUAGUGGCGCAGCUAACGCGAUAAGUAGACCGCCUGGGGAGUACGGUCGCAAGACUAAAACUCAAAUGAAUUGACGGGGGCCCGCACAAGCGGUGGAGCAUGUGGUUUAAUUCGAUGCAACGCGAAGAACCUUACCUGGCCUUGACAUAGUAAGAACUUUCCAGAGAUGGAUUGGUGCCUUCGGGAACUUACAUACAGGUGCUGCAUGGCUGUCGUCAGCUCGUGUCGUGAGAUGUUGGGUUAAGUCCCGCAACGAGCGCAACCCUUUUCCUUAUUUGCCAGCGAGUAAUGUCGGGAACUUUAAGGAUACUGCCAGUGACAAACUGGAGGAAGGCGGGGACGACGUCAAGUCAUCAUGGCCCUUACGGCCAGGGCUACACACGUGCUACAAUGGUCGGUACAAAGGGUUGCUACCUAGCGAUAGGAUGCUAAUCUCAAAAAGCCGAUCGUAGUCCGGAUUGGAGUCUGCAACUCGACUCCAUGAAGUCGGAAUCGCUAGUAAUCGCGGAUCAGAAUGCCGCGGUGAAUACGUUCCCGGGCCUUGUACACACCGCCCGUCACACCAUGCUUAGCGGCGGACGGGUGAG
This 1350-nucleotide ribosomal RNA is filed under the name Acinetobacter calcoaceticus. RNAcentral describes it as "bacterial SSU rRNA". It matches the Rfam family "Bacterial small subunit ribosomal RNA", at positions 81 to 1425 of the family's 1533-position model. The record is from RNAcentral. Lineage: Bacteria; Pseudomonadati; Pseudomonadota; Gammaproteobacteria; Moraxellales; Moraxellaceae.